GGGGAAUUUUCCGCAAUGGGCGAAAGCCUGACGGAGGGCAAAAGGACCGCGUUGGAGGGGGAGGAAGGCUCUUGGGUUGUAAACCUCUUUUCUCAGGGAAGAAGCUCUGACGGUACCUGAGGAAUCAGCCUCGGCUAACUCCGUGCCAGCAGCCGCGGUAAUACGGAGGAGGCAAGCGUUAUCCGGAAUUAUUGGGCGUAAAGCAUCCGCAGGUGGCGAUUCAAGUCUGCUGUCAAAGCACGGGGCUUAACUCCGUUAAGGCAGUGGAAACUGAAUAGCUAGAGUGCCGUAGGGGUAGAGGGAAUUCCCGGUGUAGCGGUGAAAUGCGUAGAGAUCGGGAAGAACAUCGGUGGCGAAAGCGCUCUACUGGACGGCAACUGACACUCAGGGACGAAAGCUAGGGGAAGCGAAUGGGAUUAGAUACCCCAGUAGUC
RNAcentral lists this ribosomal RNA (434 nucleotides) under uncultured cyanobacterium. RNAcentral's name for it is "bacterial SSU rRNA". It matches the Rfam family "Bacterial small subunit ribosomal RNA", at positions 356 to 795 of the family's 1533-position model. Lineage: Bacteria; Bacillati; Cyanobacteriota. The record is from RNAcentral.